RNAcentral lists this ribosomal RNA (1631 nucleotides) under Salmonella enterica subsp. enterica serovar Bovismorbificans. Its description in RNAcentral is "partial 23S ribosomal RNA". It matches the Rfam family "Bacterial large subunit ribosomal RNA", at positions 1211 to 2823 of the family's 2925-position model. Lineage: Bacteria; Pseudomonadati; Pseudomonadota; Gammaproteobacteria; Enterobacterales; Enterobacteriaceae. The record is from RNAcentral.
ACGUUUAUGCGUUGUUGGGUAGGGGAGCGUUCUGUAAGCCUGCGAAGGUGGCCUGUGAGGGUUGCUGGAGGUAUCAGAAGUGCGAAUGCUGACAUAAGUAACGAUAAAGCGGGUGAAAAGCCCGCUCGCCGGAAGACCAAGGGUUCCUGUCCAACGUUAAUCGGGGCAGGGUGAGUCGACCCCUAAGGCGAGGCCGAAAGGCGUAGUCGAUGGGAAACGGGUUAAUAUUCCCGUACUUGGUGUUACUGCGAAGGGGGGACGGAGAAGGCUAUGUUGGCCGGGCGACGGUUGUCCCGGUUUAAGCGUGUAGGUGUGUGUUCCAGGUAAAUCCGGUUCACUUUAACACUGAGGCGUGAUGACGAGGCACUACGGUGCUGAAGCAACAAAUGCCCUGCUUCCAGGAAAAGCCUCUAAGCAUCAGGUAACACGAAAUCGUACCCCAAACCGACACAGGUGGUCAGGUAGAGAAUACCAAGGCGCUUGAGAGAACUCGGGUGAAGGAACUAGGCAAAAUGGUGCCGUAACUUCGGGAGAAGGCACGCUGACACGUAGGUGAAGUGAUUUACUCAUGGAGCUGAAGUCAGUCGAAGAUACCAGCUGGCUGCAACUGUUUAUUAAAAACACAGCACUGUGCAAACACGAAAGUGGACGUAUACGGUGUGACGCCUGCCCGGUGCCGGAAGGUUAAUUGAUGGGGUCAGCGCAAGCGAAGCUCCUGAUCGAAGCCCCGGUAAACGGCGGCCGUAACUAUAACGGUCCUAAGGUAGCGAAAUUCCUUGUCGGGUAAGUUCCGACCUGCACGAAUGGCGUAAUGAUGGCCAGGCUGUCUCCACCCGAGACUCAGUGAAAUUGAACUCGCUGUGAAGAUGCAGUGUACCCGCGGCAAGACGGAAAGACCCCGUGAACCUUUACUAUAGCUUGACACUGAACAUUGAGCCUUGAUGUGUAGGAUAGGUGGGAGGCUUUGAAGUGUGGACGCCAGUCUGCAUGGAGCCGGCCUUGAAAUACCACCCUUUAAUGUUUGAUGUUCUAACGUGGACCCGUUACCCGGGUUGCGGACAGUGUCUGGUGGGUAGUUUGACUGGGGCGGUCUCCUCCUAAAGAGUAACGGAGGAGCACGAAGGUUGGCUAAUCCUGGUCGGACAUCAGGAGGUUAGUGCAAUGGCAUAAGCCAGCUUGACUGCGAGCGUGACGGCGCGAGCAGGUGCGAAAGCAGGUCAUAGUGAUCCGGUGGUUCUGAAUGGAAGGGCCAUCGCUCAACGGAUAAAAGGUACUCCGGGGAUAACAGGCUGAUACCGCCCAAGAGUUCAUAUCGACGGCGGUGUUUGGCACCUCGAUGUCGGCUCAUCACAUCCUGGGGCUGAAGUAGGUCCCAAGGGUAUGGCUGUUCGCCAUUUAAAGUGGUACGCGAGCUGGGUUUAGAACGUCGUGAGACAGUUCGGUCCCUAUCUGCCGUGGGCGCUGGAGAACUGAGGGGGGCUGCUCCUAGUACGAGAGGACCGGAGUGGACGCAUCACUGGUGUUCGGGUUGUCAUGCCAAUGGCACUGCCCGGUAGCUAAAUGCGGAAGAGAUAAGUGCUGAAAGCAUCUAAGCACGAAACUUGCCCCGAGAUGAGUUCUCCCUGAGACUU